RNAcentral lists this ribosomal RNA (483 nucleotides) under uncultured bacterium. RNAcentral describes it as "partial 16S ribosomal RNA". It matches the Rfam family "Bacterial small subunit ribosomal RNA", at positions 28 to 523 of the family's 1533-position model. The record is from RNAcentral.
GACGAACGCUGGCGGCGUGCUUAACACAUGCAAGUCGAACGAUGAUGCCCAGCUUGCUGGGUGGAUUAGUGGCGAACGAGUGAGUAACACGUGAGUAACCUGCCCCUGACUCUGGGAUAAGCGUUGGAAACGACGUCUAAUACUGGAUAUGACUGCCGGCCGCAUGGUCUGGUGGUGGAAAGAUUUUUUGGUUGGGGAUGGACUCGCGGCCUAUCAGCUUGUUGGUGAGGUAAUGGCUCACCAAGGCGACGACGGGUAGCCGGCCUGAGAGGGUGACCGGCCACACUGGGACUGAGACACGGCCCAGACUCCUACGGGAGGCAGCAGUGGGGAAUAUUGCACAAUGGGCGAAAGCCUGAUGCAGCAACGCCGCGUGAGGGAUGACGGCCUCCGGGUUGUAAACCUCUUUUAGUAGGGAAGAAGCGAAAGUGACGGUACCUGCAGAAAAAGCACCGGCUAACUACGUGCCAGCCGCCGCAGUAA